GUAGAGGCAGAGGCAACCGUGGCAGAGGCACUUACAGAAGUAGUUUUGCCUAUAAAGAUCAGAAUGAAAAUCGGUGGCAAAAUCGAAAACCCCUCUCAGGGAAUUCAAACAGUUCAGGGAGUGAAUCUUUCAAGUUUGUGGAACAGCAAUCCUAUAAGCGAAAAAGUGAACAGGAGUUCUCAUUUGAUACACCAGCAGAUAGAUCUGGAUGGACAUCUGCAUCCAGCUGGGCCGUGAGAAAGACUUUGCCAGCAGAUGUACAAAACUACUACUCACGACGAGGCAGAAAUUCUUCAGGUCCACAGUCUGGAUGGAUGAAACAAGAGGAGGAAACAUCUGGACAGGGGUAUUCCUAGUUCUUCUCAUGUAAGUAAUAACAUGAGUACACCAGUUUUGCCUGCUCCGACAGCAGCCCCAGGAAAUACGGGAAUGGUUCAGGGACCAAGUUCUGGUAAUACUUCGUCAUCAAGUCACAGCAAAGCCUCUAAUGCUGCUGUAAAAUUGGCAGAAAGCAAAGUAAGUGUUGCAGUGGAAGCCAGCGCAGAUAGCUCGAAGACAGACAAGAAAUUGCAAAUUCAAG
This 580-nucleotide long non-coding RNA is filed under the name Homo sapiens (human). RNAcentral describes it as "long non-coding RNA NONHSAT163488.1". Lineage: Eukaryota; Metazoa; Chordata; Mammalia; Primates; Hominidae. The record is from RNAcentral.